RNAcentral lists this ribosomal RNA (253 nucleotides) under uncultured bacterium. Its description in RNAcentral is "partial 16S ribosomal RNA". It matches the Rfam family "Bacterial small subunit ribosomal RNA", at positions 524 to 776 of the family's 1533-position model. The record is from RNAcentral.
UACAGAGGGUGCAAGCGUUAAUCGGAAUUACUGGGCGUAAAGCGUGCGUAGACGGUUGCGUAAGUCAGAUGUGAAAGCCCCGGGCUCAACCUGGGAAUUGCAUUUGAGACUGCGUAGCUAGGGUGCGGAAGAGGGAAGCGGAAUUUCCGGUGUAGCGGUGAAAUGCGUAGAUAUCGGAAGGAACACCAGUGGCGAAGGCGGCGCUCUGGACCGAGACUGACGCUGAGGCGCUAAAGCGUGGGGAGCAAACAGG